RNAcentral lists this long non-coding RNA (764 nucleotides) under Vigna radiata. Its description in RNAcentral is "long non-coding RNA (VRAD_LNC016441)". Lineage: Eukaryota; Viridiplantae; Streptophyta; Magnoliopsida; Fabales; Fabaceae. The record is from RNAcentral.
UGGUCUUCAUUUUCAAUGUUUUGUGAAAAAUGAGUAUUGUCAUACAUCCGAGAUCUAAAUUUGAGACUAUUACAUUUUGACUUUUUCUUUCGAGACAUCAGUGCACACAUGCUUGAAUUUAUAGGCAAAUGAAAAGACGAGAGAUGUUUAGAAAGGUUUAGAGGAGAAUGGGAUAGCUGUAUGGGCGAGUCAUUCCUUAUAUAAUCCUCAAAGGAGAUGUGAUAUGAGAAUGUCAGGAUGAAACACGAGAUACACAAAGGGUGGCCCAGCUUGAUGUUUUGGAAAAUGAGCCGGGGUAUGGAAAUUAGGGUGAAAUUUCAAAUGAGAUUUGCAAAGCUGCCUCAGUCUUAAGGUUAUGGAUUGAUGAAAAACUCGUGUGAGACUUACAAAGUUGUCCCAGUUUUUUUUGGCAUAGGGUUCUGUUUGGAAGAGGUAAUGAGCAUGAAAAAGAUAGGUUAAAUGGAUGACCCCUAACUGGUUUGAUUUUCUUCUGCGUGCUUCUGGCUAGGUUGCAAGGAGAUCCCCUCUUCCUAAGACAAUACUUUUUUCCUUUUUCUCUUUUUUUGUUAUUCAUUUUCAACUUUUUUUUUACAACACAUUGAAAGUCAUUUCGCCUUAUCGCAAAAUUAAGCUUUAUGAAAAAUUAAGCAAACAUUAUCCAAUCUGUGUGGGCUUUAUUAGGCUUGUAACGUGGCUAGGGGCUAAAAGGUAUUUGAAAAAAAGGAUAUGAAGGCCCAAAUGAAUGUUUGUUGGUUAUAUUUUUU